AGACCCGAAACCCGGUGAUCUAGCCAUGGGCAGGUUGAAGGUUGGGUAACACUAACUGGAGGACCGAACCGACUAAUGUUGAAAAAUUAGCGGAUGACCUGUGGCUGGGGGUGAAAGGCCAAUCAAACCGGGAGAUAGCUGGUUCUCCCCGAAAGCUAUUUAGGUAGCGCCUCGUGAAUUCAUCUCCGGGGGUAGAGCACUGUUUCGGCUAGGGGGCCAUCCCGGCUUACCAACCCGAUGCAAACUGCGAAUACCGGAGAAUGUUAUCACGGGAGACACACGGCGGGUGCUAACGUCCGUCGUGAAGAGGGAAACAACCCAGACCGCCAGCUAAGGUCCCAAAGUCAUGGUUAAGUGGGAAACGAUGUGGGAAGGCCCAGACAGCCAGGAUGUUGGCUUAGAAGCAGCCAUCAUUUAAAGAAAGCGUAAUAGCUCACUGGUCGAGUCGGCCUGCGCGGAAGAUGUAACGGGGCUAAACCAUGCACCGAAGCUGCGGCAGCGAACGUAUCACCCAAGACAACUUUACGGAGUUGACGAUUGACGGAGCGAAGCGACGUCAAAGCGUUCAUUAAAGUCGAGUUGGCUUAGGGAUACGUUCGUUGGGUAGGGGAGCGUUCUGUAAGCCUGUGA
RNAcentral lists this ribosomal RNA (630 nucleotides) under Salmonella enterica. RNAcentral describes it as "partial 23S ribosomal RNA". It matches the Rfam family "Bacterial large subunit ribosomal RNA", at positions 711 to 1253 of the family's 2925-position model. RNAcentral also lists the same sequence under 1 other name. The record is from RNAcentral. Lineage: Bacteria; Pseudomonadati; Pseudomonadota; Gammaproteobacteria; Enterobacterales; Enterobacteriaceae.